Long non-coding RNA from Amphimedon queenslandica, 1459 nucleotides. RefSeq lists it as uncharacterized. The transcript is spliced from 5 exons. The record is from RefSeq and is a predicted model, not a curated record. NCBI's taxonomy places the organism in Eukaryota, Metazoa, Porifera, Demospongiae, Haplosclerida, Niphatidae.
UGUACACGUAUAUGCUGUUGCUACUUUGAAAGUUAGAUUAUAAUUGCAACUUUUCAGUGUAAUGUCUACCGGCAUUCCCAUUAGAUUCGUUGUUUCCCAUUUUUAACAGUCAUUAGUGAUGCAUUCAUUGUUUAAUUAUUUUGACAUUAUAAUGCAUGUACUGUACGUGUGUGCAUUGCCUGUUUUAAUCAGCCUAUGAAAUGAGGAACAUACAUAAUUACGGAAACAGUCUUGCAUGCACGUAUUAAUUAGCAUUAAAAGUACGGCCAACUGAACUAUUAGGCACUGAUUGUUGUUGGUUUUGCACCGUGCAGUGCGAAUGACACUAUACGUGUGCGUAGACUAUUAAUGAUAUUGUUUUAAGUUGCUGUUUGUGUUUAGUGCUAACAGUGAAUGGUGGGCUGAGUUGCGCAAAGAAGAAGACGAGAGAAUUGCAGGAACUAUCGGGACAGGAUAAGUAAAAGGUGUUAUUGACACGACAGUCGGACGUGUACACUUUGAGACCCGAUAAAACUGUGCUGAUUACGGUAGUCUCGACCUUUUCAGUUAUUAAUGCCAAAAGCCUUCGACUCUUGUCGAUGCACGUUUAUAAUGCAUGUGGUAUGCUUGCAUGUACCGGUCCCGCCUGAUUGUAGAAGCGUCCUUAUUUUAGAGGGUUCUGCAGGUGUGUACGUGCAUGCAUGUUGUACCUGCAUGCAUACGUGAACAUUUAAUGUGCAUGUACAUGACUGGCAACAUUGCGUACUGUAUUCAUGCAAGCAUCCAUCAUGUGCGCAUAAUGAACAAGAGGUAAUGUGAUCUUCUGCAUGUACGUGUGCAUGUGUGCAGGCAUGUAAGUGUAUGUGACGUCAGUACUUGUAGCAAUUAAUACGUGCACACGUGUGUCUGUGUAUAAAUAUUAUAAUCAUGUACAUGUAUAGCAUCAUCCUAUUCACUAUAGGCAAAAGAAAGGAGAGAGGGUGUAGGUAGUGAUGCACCAGUUAGCGAUGACACGCUUACGGCUGCAUCAGGCUAUCAUGCUGUUGCUCCUAAUGCCGACAGUUCGAGAAUGUCAGAGAAGAGAAAGCAGCUCAUUGCCAAUAGUAAAUAUCUCGGCGGCGAUAUAGAGCACACUCAUCUCGUCAAAGGAUUAGACUAUGCACUCUUGCAGAAGGUUCAUAGUGAAAUGGUGGUCCGUGAUCAAGAAGCUGAAAAGAUUAAGAAUUACGAGAGAAAGAAAAGGAAAAGAAGAGAUCUAUCAGUGCAUGUGAGGAGGGAUCAAUCAAGUCAAAACUAGCAAAAAAAGAUACAUUCUAUUGUCUUUCAAGCAAAUGCCCCGGAAAAGAACGAAUUCUUUCUACCAGGAAGAAUGUUCGAGAAUGUCAGAGAAGAGAAAGCAGCUCAUUGCCAAUGGUAAAUAUCUCGGUGGCGAUAUGGAGCACACUCAUCUCGUCAAAGGAUUAGACUAUACGCUCUUACA